GACGAACGCUGGCGGCGUGCUUAACACAUGCAAGUCGAACGGUAAGGCCCUUCGGGGUACACGAGUGGCGAACGGGUGAGUAACACGUGGGUGAUCUGCCCUGCACUUCGGGAUAAGCCUGGGAAACUGGGUCUAAUACCGGAUAGGACCACUGCCUGCAUGGGUGGCGGUGGAAAGCUUUUGCGGUGUGGGAUGGGCCCGCGGCCUAUCAGCUUGUUGGUGGGGUGAUGGCCUACCAAGGCGACGACGGGUAGACGGCCUGAGAGGGUGACCGGCCACACUGGGACUGAGAUACGGCCCAGACUCCUACGGGAGGCAGCAGUGGGGAAUAUUGCACAAUGGGCGCAAGCCUGAUGCAGCGACGCCGCGUGAGGGAUGACGGCCUUCGGGUUGUAAACCUCUUUCAGCACCGACGAAGCGCAAGUGACGGUAGGUGCGGAAGAAGGACCGGCCAACUACGUGCCAGCCGCCGCCGUAA
This 478-nucleotide ribosomal RNA is filed under the name uncultured bacterium. RNAcentral describes it as "partial 16S ribosomal RNA". It matches the Rfam family "Bacterial small subunit ribosomal RNA", at positions 28 to 523 of the family's 1533-position model. The record is from RNAcentral.